This 68-nucleotide transfer RNA is filed under the name Monodelphis domestica (gray short-tailed opossum). It matches the Rfam family "tRNA". Rfam says of the family: Transfer RNA (tRNA) molecules are approximately 80 nucleotides in length. Their secondary structure includes four short double-helical elements and three loops (D, anti-codon, and T loops). Further hydrogen bonds mediate the characteristic L-shaped molecular structure. tRNAs have two regions of fundamental functional importance: the anti-codon, which is responsible for specific mRNA codon recognition, and the 3' end, to which the tRNAs corresponding amino acid is attached (by aminoacyl-tRNA synthetases). tRNAs cope with the degeneracy of the genetic code in two manners: having more than one tRNA (with a specific anti-codon) for a particular amino acid; and 'wobble' base-pairing, i.e. permitting non-standard base-pairing at the 3rd anti-codon position. Lineage: Eukaryota; Metazoa; Chordata; Mammalia; Didelphimorphia; Didelphidae. The record is from Rfam by way of RNAcentral.
AGAGAGGUGGUUCAAUGGAUAGAAUGUCAGACCUGGAAUCAGAAGGACCUGGAUUCAAAUCUUUUCUA